RNAcentral lists this ribosomal RNA (406 nucleotides) under uncultured bacterium. RNAcentral's name for it is "partial 16S ribosomal RNA". It matches the Rfam family "Bacterial small subunit ribosomal RNA", at positions 30 to 526 of the family's 1533-position model. The record is from RNAcentral.
AUUGAACGCUGGCGGCAGGCCUAACACAUGCAAGUCGAACGAGUGGCGGACGGGUGAGUAAUGUCUGGGAAACUGCCCGAUGGAGGGGGAUAACUACUGGAAACGGUAGCUAAUACCGCAUCCCAUCGGAUGUGCCCAGAUGGGAUUAGCUAGUAGGGGGGGUAACGGCUCACCUAGGCGACGAUCCCUAGCUGGUCUGAGAGGAUGACCAGCAACACUGGAACUGAGCCACGUUCCAGACUCCUACGGGAGGCAGCAGUGGGGAAUAUUUCACAAUGGGCGCAAGCCUGAUGCAGCCAUGCCGCGUGUGUGAAGAAGGCCUUCGGGUUGUAAAGCACUUUCAGCGAGGAGGCGUUACUCGCAGAAGAAGCACCGGCUAACUCCGUGCCAGCAGCCGCGGUAAUAC